AUUGAACGCUGGCGGAAUGCUUUACACAUGCAAGUCGAACGGCAGCACGGACUUCGGUCUGGUGGCGAGUGGCGAACGGGUGAGUAAUACAUCGGAACGUGCCCAAUCGUGGGGGAUAACGUAGCGAAAGCUACGCUAAUACCGCAUACGAUCUAAGGAUGAAAGCGGGGGAUCGCAAGACCUCGCGCGAUUGGAGCGGCCGAUGGCAGAUUAGGUAGUUGGUAGGGUAAAGGCCUACCAAGCCGACGAUCUGUAGCUGGUCUGAGAGGAUGAUCAGCCGCACUGGGACUGAGACACGGCCCAGACGCCUACGGGAGGCAGCAGUGGGGAAUUUUGGACAAUGGACGCAAGUCUGAUCCAGCCAUUCCGCGUGCAGGAUGAAGUCCCGCGGGUUGUAAACUGCUUUUGUACAGAACGAAAAGGCUCUGGUUAAUACCUAGGGCUCAUGACGGUACUGUAAGAAUAAGCACCGGCUAACUACGUGCCAGCAGCCGCAGUAA
Molecule: ribosomal RNA, 500 nt
Filed under: uncultured bacterium
Lineage: Bacteria
Description: partial 16S ribosomal RNA
Rfam family: Bacterial small subunit ribosomal RNA
Source: RNAcentral